Molecule: long non-coding RNA, 232 nt
Organism: Perca fluviatilis (European perch)
Lineage: Eukaryota; Metazoa; Chordata; Actinopteri; Perciformes; Percidae
Exons: 3
Source: RefSeq, a predicted model, not a curated record
CAGAUUCUUAACAUACUGUACUUAGUGGGACAUAACCGACCGCAUUCUCUUCUGAUCACUGUGCACAGCACCAUAGAAAUACCAGCAAACAAACAAACUUUUGAAUGGAAUUCUUAAAGGGUUGGUUCACCCAAAAGAUGCCAUCGGUUUCAAAUUACAGCAUCUCUGGAUAAUCCCCAGACUUCACUCUGGACUUUUCUUGUUGGAAAUGAUUUCUACUAAAUAAACAGUG